Molecule: long non-coding RNA, 2440 nt
Organism: Osmia bicornis bicornis
Lineage: Eukaryota; Metazoa; Arthropoda; Insecta; Hymenoptera; Megachilidae
Exons: 9
Source: RefSeq, a predicted model, not a curated record
UGUACGCGCCAACGAUUCACCCCUCUCCAACCAUCGAAAUACCAACCACCCUGGUUUCAACCCCUCGAUGGCGACGCCCAGCGUCGAUCCACUGUGUUCCCAUCUUCUACCACGCAGACUCGAACAUCCAUCGUCCCAUGGCGCUUGUGCGUGACCCGUUGGAUUUUCCAAAAACACUGUGUUCGAUCUCCAUUGUGCUGUUUCAAACAUCUUUAUUAAAUUUUGAAUUAUUUUAACAUUCCAGUGAUUUGUUUUAAAAGUUGAACGAAGUGAUUGAUACAAAAGAUUUGACAAGUGGAGUAUCUUAUACCCUUGUGUAUUAAUUCAAACGCAAAAUGGGUGACGGGGUUGUAAAAGAUUGUUUCGUUUUAAUUCAGAGUGAAAAGUGAUAUUUGGAAAGGACUUUCCUAUUUGGAGAUUGUGACGAUGCACGAUUGUUAUGUUAAAUUUCUUAAUGUUACCAAGUAUGUUACGUUUAUUAAGUCGUAGAAUGAUUCCGAGAUAUGGGGGUUGAAUUAUCUGCGUUGGUGUCAAUGCAUGCGUUUUCAACCCUCAGAGCGCAGACUCGCCGGGAAUCCAUUGCUACCAUCUUGUGUCAAGGGGGUGGUGAAAGCUUUGUCGGGGAUGUCUAGCAACGUUCCGUCGAUGCACCCCCAAAUAUUUGCGAGCAACUGAUAUCUUUCGCUACAGAUCACAUAAAAUGGUGUGCUGCUAGUGCUGUUGGCGAAGAUGGUGGUGCCGAGGGGAAACAGGAGAGAGAAAGAUAGAAACAACAGGAGGGAAGAAGAAGAAUGGAGAGGACAGAAGGCCGUGAAACCGAGGAGACGGGGAGAGGACAGAGAUGUGCCGGCUGGCAAGCAGAUGGUUGCGCCGUUUAUUGGUUUAUUCGUCGGUUCAGCCAUGACGUCCCGUCCAGCCAUCAGACCAGCCGGUGUGUGUUCCUCUUUGUGUUCCUCGGGAGGAUUCGACUAACACCCGGGUCUUAUCUCUUCUCGAUUUCGAACCAACGCUAUAACUAUCGGCUGGGAUUUGUACGAAAGUGACUUCCACGGUGGUUGCAGCAUCGACAGCUUUGUCUUUUUGGAGCUUUUUCGGGGAUCGUGAUUUACACGCUUGGAAUGCACGAGGGUGAUGAUGUCUGAUGAUGUUUGAAGGGGUAGAGUGCGGAUGUCGAUUGUUCAAAGAGGGACUCUCGCGACGAAGGGGUUGAUUGAUGCUGACUCGGCUGCUCUUAUCGUCGCUUACACGGUAAUCAACGUGACAGAAAGAGUGCUGAAACAAAUAAUUGGUACAAAUUUAAUCUCACGUGGAAAACUGGAAAUAUGGAAAAUUCAGAAACCAGUACCCGCCUAAUUCAAGUUAAUCCCGGAUUGGCAAGCGGAAGGAGAGGAUUCUAAGAGGAUUAACCCACUGCUCGAAGCUCGAGGAAUUUGGGAGCCUAUCGUUGUCCUAUCUGUUUCAAUUCCCUGAACAAAAUAAUCCGAGAUAAACAAGGAACGCCGAUGACCAAGUAACCUGGAAAUGGAAGGUACAUCGACACGCUCAAAUAAAAGAAGCUGUACCGCUACGGAAUAAGAGGAGAAAGAGGAUGAAGAAGAACACGACCUUGCUACAUUCAGCUGUGUCAUCCGUGAGCCGUUAACGCUCAGGUGCUUUCGAUCCCAGGGACGAGCAUCAAUCACUAUCGAUAGUGCAGAUGGACCAAAUGAUGACGAGAAGGUUGGACACCGUCGAUAGCAUACUGGGCCAACGAAGAAGUUAAAAGCGGCACGGAUCGCAAGAAGAUUAGACGUUGAGAAGAAACUGUAAACCGAGUUCGAGCCACGAAGAAGUUGGCGUAUCCGGCGGAAGUUGGCAGAAGAGAGGGCAGCAGCCAGGUUCAAUCGGCGUCGUCGAAUGAAGACAAACGGUUCUGGGGUCGCGGUGGACGCGUUUACCUACGUUUCCAGAGAUCCUCGCGGAGUCUCGAGUCUAAAUCCACAUCCAAGUGCGCGAGAAAACAUAGCAAGAUUAAUGAUAUGCCUGACACAAGGGAGAGGGUGCUGGUUGGCGAGCACACUGGCGUCGGUAACUGCCAAGAGGAAACAGCAACCACAGGAAUAGCUUUGCUACUUUCCAUACUGCACCGUCCUGCGCCUUACUCCAGUUGCAUACUUGUCACUCAUUUCCUGUCAUGCUCAAGAAUCUCGCGAUACCUUGCAUAUCGUUGUUCUUGUUUUCCGAGGUAUUUCGAUUCGCAUUGUCUCAGUCGUAGUAAGUGGGAAAUCGAUCUUAGGGUGCGUUUAGAGAUUCUUCAGGCGAUGAAAUGAAAGAAUGAUGUGUUCAUUUCUUGCAUCGAUUGAGUCAAGAAAUCUACAUCUGUAAUCUUCUAGAUAGAAGACAAAAUUAAAAAUGUUGAAAGCUUCGUUAACAGUCCGCAAAAAGUGUAACUUCUAUCGCU